UCCCGAAUAGCUCAGCUGGUUAGAGCAUCUGACUGUUAAUCAGAGGGUCGCUGGUUCGAGCCCAGCUUCGGGAGCUA
RNAcentral lists this transfer RNA (77 nucleotides) under Sphingobacteriia bacterium 35-40-5. RNAcentral's name for it is "tRNA-Asn". It matches the Rfam family "tRNA". From Rfam's summary of the family: Transfer RNA (tRNA) molecules are approximately 80 nucleotides in length. Their secondary structure includes four short double-helical elements and three loops (D, anti-codon, and T loops). Lineage: Bacteria; Pseudomonadati; Bacteroidota; Sphingobacteriia. The record is from RNAcentral. RNAcentral also lists the same sequence under 2 other names.